UACUUCCAAGCAGUCAGCAGAAAGUGUUCCUGCAGAUGCUGAAAUGGGACACAAAAGACAAUCUGUAUUUAUAAGACGGAAAAAAAAAAGUGCAGAGUUUAAAAUAAAAGCAAUGAUAACCCAUGCCCUGGAGAUGGCAAGUAGGACCACAUGCCAGCUAUUUAGUAAGAUCUGAAAACCCUGGUUCAGGGGUCACCCAAUUUAGGUGAAGAUGCUGCUGCAAGCACCUUUGCAGUGGAGGCUAUCAUCACCAGCUGGGAAGCCUGGCAGAGCUUGAUUAACCACUUGAGCCUUGCUUUUCUCAUUCAGGCCUUAAUUUCAGACCUUACCCUGAAAUAAUUCAGUGCCACCAGAAAAUACUGUCACCGCAGUAGGUGACUAGGUCACUAGGCUUAAAGGAGAGUGGUUAAUUAUUUCUAAUUAGCUUAGAGCCUGCUUGCAAAUGGGAUUUGUCAGGAGCUUGUCUGUGACACAGACCUGAGGGCAGCAAUAGGCUGUAAUAGCUGUAAUCAGCCUUGCACGCCCUCACCUCCAGCAAGCCCAGCAGUUCCCAGCGGGAUGGUUUGGUGCAGAGGCACUCAGCUGGUGAGAAGCAGCUUGGUGACACAACAGCAGUGAGUUACACACAGCUUAUCAAGAAGCUAAUAACAGGUGCCUUACUGAGAGGACAGUAAGAUACUGGAAGAGGAGCCUGGAAGCAAAGCUGUGCAGCCGCUGUCCCUGGAGGUGUCCAAGAAAAUGGAGAAAUCCCUGUCCCUAACCAGGAUAUUGAACCUGUUGAGGCUUGCAUACAGACAUCCUAAGCUUUCUUUUUGCUACUGAAUGAAGCCGCUGGCAUUUGGCUGUGCAAAUCCAACUCCUCCCUGAGCGAGCUGGCCGCAGCGGCUGCUCAGGAACUGGCUGGGCAUCAGCUGGCGUGUGCUGGGUUAUCUGAUGGAGGACUUCUGAACUGGGAUGACAAGAAGAAAAGUUGGGGGAGUCAUAAGCAAAAUGCCGGGACACAGACCUGACAAAGCAGAAAUGGAAACAAUGAUAAACAAACCUUCUAGUCAUGCAAAUUGAUGGGCUAUCAAACUACACGUACCACGUCCAAGAAGAUCAACCUGGACUUUGCAACUGGACUCUGUUUCCAGGAAUCAGCAGUUCUGUGUAACCAGCUGUUUGCAUACUGAAUUGGUAUUACUCAGUGAAUCCCAGCGCCUAAAACCUGGGUUUCCCCAGAAACUGGGCACCCGAAAGAAACGACUGAAGAAUUUAAGCAGUGUUUUACCCAAGGAGCUACAGGAGGAUUUUGCAAUCAGCUGGAAUUCCAUUUAUAGGAUAUCUUACAGCACAAGUGGAGCCCAGAUGUUUUCGGUAAACGGCUUUCAAAACAGUUGAGAUCAGUGUCAAAUUUCCAGACAUGUGAUCCAGCUUGGAGUCAAGUUUGGGGUUGCUUUUGUGUUUACCUAAAGUCUGUGUGCUGAAUUACACUGAAGUUUGGGGUUGGAAUAAAGUUCUCUAUAACAAAUAUUUGACUGGACACAUGGUUUAUCUUAUUUGCAGGACUUUGAGCUUUGAAAAAAGGUUACUGUAUUUUCUUAGAGUAAUAUUUGAGGUAUAGUCAGCUCCCUCUUGCUCACUGGAUUUAGAAAUGGCGUUGCAUUUUAACUCAGAUCUGUUAUUAUUCUAGCUAUUAAACUAGCAUGGCGAGAAAACAUUUCAAAGCGAGAUGGGAACCGUUUGUACAGAUGAUAAAUGACACAUGCAUUCCUGAACAAUCUGGCUUGCCCAACUGCAGUGAACUCUGCUCACGUGAAGGCAGCCCUCUUGUUGGAGGUCUAGCUGGAUGCCUAAGUCAUACGCUAAGUUUUUGCUGAGGCAGUCUAUCAGCAAAAAAAUCUGCCUUCCAGUUUUACAAGCUUAGAAUUUACUUUUGCAAGUACUGUCUAGUCGUUUUUCAGCCCACAGUAAGAUCACUGCCAUAAUUUGGAAGAUCAUACAGAAAAAUGGCACAGGUUGAGUCAGUAUGAAUGAUUGUAAAGUGUGUGGAAGAGACAUGGGAACCCUCCCAUUUUAAACGCUGUAUCCAAGCCUUACCCUAUGCAAAGUCCUUGCCAACUUCAAAUCCUACGUUGCCCUGUCUGUGCAAAUUCGCUGUAACUGUGUGUCAUGCCCUCUUCAAAACCUGCUCAGGGCUUCCAAUCUAACAGCGAUUUACCCUUGGCCUGGGGUCGGACUCCUCUUUUCCUGAGACUGUAUGUGCGUCACACGCAAUGGGUGUCACACGACACUGAGAUACUUUGAGGUGUGUGAAAAGACAACCUUGGUGCUUUUUUUUUUCCUGCUACACCUUGAGCUGUGUCAACCAGUUCUCUGACUUAACCACCUUGUGUAUAUGUAUGGAAAGAAGCUCAUUUUAUUUAGGCAUUUAAUUUUUAUGGGCAAAAAGGCUCAAAUUUUUGCAGACUUGAAUCGAUGUCUUAAGUUGUCAUAUAAGGAACCUAAGCGUUACUGUCCUUAAUUUGGCUGAGCUUCAGAUUUGUGCUCUACAUAGCAUGUUUACAUCUCAGCUGUAAACAAAUGAGAGAUCUUGCUCCAUU
Anas platyrhynchos (mallard) is the source of this 2582-nucleotide non-coding RNA. The record is from RefSeq and is a predicted model, not a curated record. NCBI's taxonomy places the organism in Eukaryota, Metazoa, Chordata, Aves, Anseriformes, Anatidae.